This 424-nucleotide ribosomal RNA is filed under the name Helcococcus sp. canine oral taxon 069. Its description in RNAcentral is "bacterial SSU rRNA". It matches the Rfam family "Bacterial small subunit ribosomal RNA", at positions 9 to 443 of the family's 1533-position model. Lineage: Bacteria; Bacillati; Bacillota; Tissierellia; Tissierellales; Peptoniphilaceae. The record is from RNAcentral.
GAGUUUGAUUCUGGCUCAGGACAAACGCUGGCGGCGUGCAUAACACAUGCAAGUCGAACGAAAUCUACAUGAUUUAGUGGCGAACGGGUGAGUAACACGUGAGAAACCUGCCUUACACAGAGGGAUAGCCGUUGGAAACGACGAUUAAUACCUCAUGACACCGUGACAUCGCAUGAUGAUGCGGUCAAAGAUUUAUCGGUGUAAGAUGGUCUCGCGCCUGAUUAGCUGGUUGGUGGGGUAACGGCCUACCAAGGCGACGAUCAGUAGCCGAUCUGAGAGGGUGGACGGCCACAUUGGGACUGAGACACGGCCCAAACUCCUACGGGAGGCAGCAGUGGGGAAUUUUGCACAAUGGGGGAAACCCUGAUGCAGCGACGCCGCGUGAACGAAGAAGGCCUUCGGGUUGUAAAGUUCUGUCCUUGGU